AUAGGGGGACAUUCGUCCGGUGCCGGCCCCAUGGCCGGAGAAUCGGGAACGCGGUGGAAUUCCGCGACGUGCCCAACGCUGUAAGGGGGACCGACCGGCGAUAGCCACUGGCCUUGGCCGGGAAGGUGCCGGUUCGGGACGAACCCAAGUCAGAAGACCGGCCGGACGAGGAUGGCCCUUC
Molecule: non-coding RNA, 181 nt
Filed under: Magnetospirillum sp. SS-4
Lineage: Bacteria; Pseudomonadati; Pseudomonadota; Alphaproteobacteria; Rhodospirillales; Rhodospirillaceae
Source: RNAcentral